AUUCAGCUGACGAGUUCCAAAUAGGAUGACACGUGCGUCUUGGAU
Schistosoma haematobium is the source of this 45-nucleotide non-coding RNA. NCBI's taxonomy places the organism in Eukaryota, Metazoa, Platyhelminthes, Trematoda, Strigeidida, Schistosomatidae. The record is from Rfam.